CGUCAAGAUCGAGCAUCGUAUAUGCAAAUUUCUCUAUUAACAUACGAUUAUCGAGCGAUAGAUUUUUUAAUACGAUUAUUAGCCGGAAAAAACAAGCCAAACGAACACUCUCUUUGGAUAAAACUGUUACAAGGUCCGUCUACGGGGUUAUCGAUUCGAGUAAAUGUUCCCUUGAACUUAACGCGACGCGUAGAUCCACGAGCAGUUUGUCGAAUGAGAAAUUUUACGUUCCGAGUCAAUUGAAUUAUUUUCACUCAAGAGUGGAGAUUCCUGGUUUGUUUGUUGUCUUCACAUACGUACGAACGAUGAAGCCAUCGAAUUUCUUGAAACGUCAAACCAGUUUUCCACCAGCUCAACCAACGUUUUUUUUUAAUUUCGCCUCACGUUAUCUUGUGAAAUAAUGAAUAAUUAGCUCAUCUUCCAAAUAUCGAAGUUCGUACAACAACAAAGGUUUGAUUAGAAGAAGAAUAGCCGAAAUCACACGAUGAAAAUUUAUCAGCCCCUUCGGAGCAGUACGCUAUCUGUACUGUCACCGGCUAUUUUUUUUCAUCAUAGCUCGCGUGUGACGGCCGGAUCAAGAUAUUAUAGCGUCCUGACGUUCCAUUCAAACGAUCAGUUCGACAGUGACCGUGGCCGAGUAACAACAAGAUUCGAUGGUCCAAGAAUAGACAAAAAAACAUCAGAGCGAACCAAUUUCUUCUCGCGCGAUAAGAACUGGACACACACGAUAUAUUUUUUGGCUCGGAUUGAACUUAUUGGCUUAUUUUUCGAUUCUUCCUGCAAAUCCGAAGCGAUAUAAACAAAGAUGAUUGGUUUAACGUUGGUUUUCUCGACGAUACUCCUUUGGGGGCUGGAGGUCGAAUCGAGCGUACUCGUCGCCGACAUGACGAUGUCGAGGAUGGUCGAGCUCAACGCGGGUGCUCCGUUCUGUGCUCUUUAUCACGAUCGUGGAAUAAUUCAGCAGAUGAUCCUCGGCGCGGAUCCGAAAAAAGUUCGACAGAUGUCGAGCAAUCUCAUCGACGAUCUCGAGGAGACCUGCAAAGAGUCGAGAAACAAGGGAAAAAAUCAACCGCCGGGAGGAGGAUUGAUUUAUCCAGGAACAAAGUGGUGCGGCCCAGGAAAUAUCGCCGCUUCGUACGACGAUUUGGGUCAUCACGCGAACGAGGAUGCCUGCUGUCGGGAGCACGACCAUUGUCCCGUCGUCAUACUACCGCGAUCGUGUAUUCAUGGAAUUUGCAAUACUUCUCCGUUCACUCGUUCUCACUGUGAUUGCGAUGCCAAAUUUCGACGUUGCCUUCAAAAUUUGAACACCGAGGUUGCCAACACCCUGGGGGCGCUUUUCUUCAACGUCGUACAGGUCACCUGUUUCAAGGAGCGACGUCCGUGCUCCCAAUGGCAGAGGAACGGCUACGGAGAGGCAGAAUCGAAUCGUCUUUGCUCUCAGUACAAAUUCCGUCCGAGUGACAAGUACGUGCCGUUAAUGCCGCUCAAUAUGAACAUAUGAAUUCGAAAGCAACAGAAAUCGGAGCCCGGGAAUCGCUGAUUUUGUUCAGUGGAAGCUCCUGUACGAGUAACGAAUAUUCAUUUGAAAAAAAGUCGUAUUUAUGAUAGUUUCUCGAUAACAGAAGAUCCAACAUUGAAAAUCCUCCUCGUACAUACGAAAUUCAAAAUUCAUUUUUUCCGCAUGUGGGAUUCCGCGUCAUAAAAUGCGUAUACCAAGUUUUAUCGAUAACCACAGCAUUUGAAUUCACGCGUCAGUAACGAGUGAUGACGAUGCGGAAAUGAAAUUCGAUCUAUAGUGAUCCCUGGAUUUUGAAAUAGUGAUCGAAAAACAUAUCAAGGUUCACGGACAAUUGAACAUUUUCAACGACCGACCGAAUUUUAAUGCAAAAAAACCUGUGGCCUUCUUCAUGUCUUUUUUCGAUAAAAAUGAUGUAUUAUUACGAAACUCAUAUACCUCCUUAAAGCGUAGCGACAAGAGUGACCAAGUGCUUUAUGUUAAUUCUUCAACGUGAAUCGAGUGUCAUUGAGAGAAUGGACUCUAGAGACAAAAACACUUGAGUGAUGUAUGCCGAAGUUAUUGAAAUCGUGCGUCGAUUCUUGUGCAGGUUUUCGUCUUUCCCUCUUUGUCUAACGACAUCUCUAUUUUUCAUAGAGAAAUUGGCGUUAUUUGUAACCGAAUUUUGUCGUUUGAAUAAUGAGAGCAGAGCGCACGAUUAAUCAGUCGGCGGUCGGGGGAUAGAAGAUUUUCUCGCGAGUAUAGAUUCGGCUGCCGGCUCUGUUAAAAAAAGAGAAAAUUGAAAAUAAUUCCAUCAUUGAAAUAAAUUUGGUAGAGAUAGCAAGAAUUUCACAUGUUCGUGCCAUCAUCAUAAAAGUUGGAAAAAAGUAACAAAGCACGAACCCCCGUUCGCUGACGGGUUGAAAAAUUCUAACUGUUUUUUUUUUAUCAAACUGCACUUGUUGGGGGAACGUUCGUUUCACGGGUAUAAAAAAGAAAAAAAAUACAGAGCCGAUAGCCCGACACAUUUUCUUUUUGCAGUAUUCAAUCAAAGCAAUGUCCGAUUGUGAGUAAAAGGUCGAAAGCCGAAAGUAUCGUGGUAGAUUCUGUUGACAGAGUUAGAAAAUAAGACAUGUGAUAUACUGUUUCAUAAUCAUUGUAUCGGCUGGAUAUUAUAGAUUAUAAUAAUAAAGAAAGGUUUUCGUCAGCAAGUAAUCGAAGCAAAGAAUUACGUUUGAAGAUUAUUGAACACAGCGAUUUCAAGAAAAUAUCAUUGUUAGCUGAAUAUUAGGGCAAACAAUAAUUCAACACGAGGCGAAUGAGAAACAAAUGUAUCGACAGAGUUUUUACUUCUGAAAACAAUCGUUGCAGUGUUAAAAAUUCUUGGUGAAUUAAACGUUUGGCACGAUUCUACAUACGAAAAAUUCCUAAUGUAUUAUGACGAUCCUAUUGGAACAUACGUUUGGAGUUUUCUUUUUUCUUUAAAAAAUUUUCCACAAAUUUGAUCACGCACGUACACUGUGAGACGCAUCAACUACAAGAUUAGCAUUAUAUUAGUUUUAUAAUAUGUUUUUUUCGUUGACACAGGAUGAAAAAAUUAUAAAGAAGUACUGACGAAUGAAUUCCUCCUGUUUAGUAUCAUUCGUUGCCCUCAUCAACAUUCACAGUAAUAUAGCAAUGAAAUUUCAGGAUGUACUAGCGAGUCAACAAAUAUUUCGUUCGUUUAAGAUGUUACGGGUUAAGGUACGAGCGGACCAUUGCAUGUUGAUCGUUGAACAAUGAAUAAUAUAAUUCUUUGCUGUUUCAUUCGUUAAAUAUUGAAUAAUAAAUGGCUUAUAUAACAAGAA
This 3345-nucleotide unclassified non-coding RNA is filed under the name Venturia canescens. Its description in RNAcentral is "acidic phospholipase A2 PA4-like, transcript variant X8". Lineage: Eukaryota; Metazoa; Arthropoda; Insecta; Hymenoptera; Ichneumonidae. The record is from RNAcentral.